This is a long non-coding RNA of Pangasianodon hypophthalmus (striped catfish), 2033 nucleotides long. RefSeq lists it as uncharacterized. Lineage: Eukaryota; Metazoa; Chordata; Actinopteri; Siluriformes; Pangasiidae. The record is from RefSeq and is a predicted model, not a curated record. The transcript is spliced from 3 exons.
GCGUAACUUCCUGACGUUUUGACUUUCGCCGUCUCUUUCCGGUGUUGUGACUCUGGAACGCCAUAGUGAGGGAGGUAACCCUCGAUAUGAGAGUGUGAGCACGUGAGUUGCUGAUGCGGUUAUUUUGGAGACUGGGGACUCGGCAUUUAGCCUUGAGCAACGAGCCGUGUUACACAGCGGUUUUAUUCCACUCUGUUAUAAAGUUGCUUUCCACUCUUGGAUUAUGCCAGAGAAAACUUGUAGAGGGAGAAGUAAAGGAUUGUAGCAAAUCAUAAAUUAUAGGUAAUGCCUUUUUACUUCCUUUACACCAAUCAAGACACUUAUCAAUAAUUGAGUGUGAUAUAUUAUCCAAUGAAGGUGUGUGAGCACGUAUAUAAUUCCUAAUCUGUAGAAAUCUAAAAAAAUGACUCUUGGGGAAUUUAAAUUUCUGUUGCAGCUGAUUAAAAGAUGCCAAAGCCCCCAUAGUGAAAAUAUUGAUGUGGAUUGUGUGUUUCUUUAGAGUUUACGACGCCGUGUUGCAUUUGCUUCACGGCAAGUGUUUUAUUUGUCAAUGUUUUGUAUUUUAUUUGUAUCUUAUACUAGUUGAGUUUGUUAAAGGUAUUUUUGCAUUUAUGUUUGUUUUUAUUUGACAGAUCUUUCCUUUUGGAGCUCUAUGCAUAUGGACUUCUGAUGUCUAGGCCCUGCUGUUUUGUUUAUGAUUCGAUUUUGUCAUUCAGUUUCUCAGUUUAUGGUUAUAUGUUGAUUCUGGUAUUGCAGUAAAUUUUGUUGUUUAUUUCUGUAAUUGACUUUGUUAGCUGAGUGUAUUUUAUGCCAACCGCUGAGGUUUGUUAUGUGUUAUGUAAAGGGGAGUUUUUAAAUCCAUUUCUCUGUUUUAGGAACCAGUCUGCAUGGAAGUGCUUUCCUCUGGGGUCGUCCGGGUUUUCUUCUCCUCACUGCAUGGUGGCGUGAGAUUUCCUGCACUGCAUGCUUAUUGAUUUGAGAGUGUAGAGUUAUUUGCAUUAUUUACUACACCUUUUUAUGCUGUUGGUUAAUGAUUUGUACAUCAGUGCAUGUGUGGUGUGUGCUUUAAGGCUGUGAGUCUGUGGCCCUGUGACUUUCCCCUUUCUUCCUGCAGGCUUGGUGAAUCCUAUAUUGUAAGAAUGGUGGGUUAUGAUUUUAAUAUUUGGCCUACAGCUUUCUUAAAAUUGUGAUUCCAGUUUUAAAAAAAAAAGCACAAUAAAGUUGAUUGCCUAUCUAGAGAUUUUAUACUGCUUGUUAAUAAAAGUGUUGAACUUGAAGGUCACGUCUCUGUUCCCUUUUUUAUUCACUGGCAAUGGAACUUGCUGUGUUAACUUAUUUCCAUGGGUACAAACCCCAGUGGCAUAGUCGGAAUCUAGAGUGACUUUUGGGUAUCACUUGGUUACAAUAAGCUUGAAUGACUUCAUGUGACUUCAUCCCCCCCCCCCCAAAUUUAUUUUUCUUUAUUUAAAAAAAAUAAUAAUGUGUAAUUUUUUUUGUUAGUUUGUUGUUGUAAAUGUCCCAAUUGGGAUAGAGAGUGUGCAAUUUUCAAAGAGUUUAAUUAAAUGUUCCAUGUUAUAUAUUUUGGCUGCAUUUGUGAGUUAUUAAAAAUGUAACUGCUUCAGUAAACUAGGCACAUAAUAUCAAAAUAUCGAUAAAUUAAUUUAAUUAAUAAAUCAAAUCGAAUCGUAAUCGUAUCACAGAAAUUUUUGAGGUAUCGGCAAAUAUCGUAUCGCUGGCGGAGAAAAUGGAUAUCAUAUCGUAUCGUGAUGAACUAUCCGAUUUACACCUCUAUUUGAAAGCGACAAGCUAAGAGAAGCGGCUAAUACGUGCACGUUUAAAGUAAAAUUCUGACAAGUAAAUAGGAAAGGCCUAAUAUAAUUAAUAAUAAAAUAAUUGUUCAAUAAAUAGGCUAUAUAAAACUUAGCAUGGAGCUGUUUUGGAUUAAAAACAAUCGGAACACUGAGAUAUUACGCUUUUAGCCACAACUAAAAGAUUAUUCUUUGGAAUUGGUUAGAUUAAGAUAACAUAGUAAA